Long non-coding RNA from Acanthopagrus latus (yellowfin seabream), 402 nucleotides. RefSeq lists it as uncharacterized. The record is from RefSeq and is a predicted model, not a curated record. NCBI's taxonomy places the organism in Eukaryota, Metazoa, Chordata, Actinopteri, Spariformes, Sparidae. The transcript has 3 exons.
UCACGUUUCACGUAACAACAGACGUGUGUUCAAAAUGAGAGAGAACUCAAACUUUAACUAAAUAACAGCGAGUGAUGCCUAAUAUUCAUCUGGCAGAGAGGAUUCUGGGUAACACCAUGCUUGUUAAAAGGCGCAGUGAGAUGAUUCUAACCCUGUCGACCUCUGGAAGACGACGCUGUGAUGGUCUCAGGAGGCAGAUAAUGAACCUUGAUAGACGGAUUUAAACAACAGAUGAGAAAGCAGCUGUCAACACGAGGCAGAAGAGAUCUGUAGAAACUCUAAACCUGCCGGCGGAAACACUCGAUUUUCUGAGUGGGCGUGACGGUGCGUUCAAGUGCACAGCAGCAGUCUGCAAGACAACAACAACAACAACAACAGUUACAUGAUGGAGAGAGAGAGAGA